UAUAUUGAAUCCUUUUUAAAAGCUUUUAUAUUAAUUAUGUUGGUUUUCCAACUACGACGAUAAACGAAUUUCGUAAUAACCAUUGCGGACGUGGGGGCAGUACCCACCACCUCCACCAUUACAACUCAUGGGGGUGAACUAGAUUCGACGGAUGACUAAAAGCUAUUCUUUCGUUCGGGAUUGUUCCACCGUAACGGGCUAAUUUAUAAUUGCUAACGAAAGUUACGCACUUGCUGCCUAAUUAACUCAGUUAAUUAAGCAAACGGGGUUUGGGGUACCUGGCAACAGAACGCUCUUGG
This 299-nucleotide transfer-messenger RNA is filed under the name Candidatus Pelagibacter sp. It matches the Rfam family "Alphaproteobacteria transfer-messenger RNA". Rfam says of the family: Bacterial tmRNA, also known as 10Sa RNA or SsrA, is named for its dual tRNA and mRNA-like properties. Its role is to liberate the mRNA from a stalled ribosome. The record is from RNAcentral. Lineage: Bacteria; Pseudomonadati; Pseudomonadota; Alphaproteobacteria; Candidatus Pelagibacterales; Candidatus Pelagibacteraceae.